CAUUAAGAAGCUAUAUGCCAGCGCUAGCCUUUUAAGCUAGAGAAAGAGGGUCACCAUCCCCUCCUUAAUGG
Molecule: transfer RNA, 71 nt
Filed under: Didunculus strigirostris
Lineage: Eukaryota; Metazoa; Chordata; Aves; Columbiformes; Columbidae
Description: tRNA-Lys
Rfam family: tRNA
About the family: Transfer RNA (tRNA) molecules are approximately 80 nucleotides in length. Their secondary structure includes four short double-helical elements and three loops (D, anti-codon, and T loops).
Source: RNAcentral